GAUGAACGCUGGCGGCGUGCUUAACACAUGCAAGUCGAACGGAAAGGCCCUGCUUGCCGGGUACUCGAGUGGCGAACGGGUGAGUAACACGUGGGUGAUCUGCCCUGCACUUCGGGAUAAGCCUGGGAAACUGGGUCUAAUACCGGAUAGGAGCCAUUUUUAGUGUGAUGGUUGGAAAGUUUUUUCGGUGUAGGAUGAGCUCGCGGCCUAUCAGCUUGUUGGUGGGGUAAUGGCCUACCAAGGCGGCGACGGGUAGCCGGCCUGAGAGGGUGGACGGCCACAUUGGGACUGAGAUACGGCCCAGACUCCUACGGGAGGCAGCAGUGGGGAAUAUUGCACAAUGGGCGCAAGCCUGAUGCAGCGACGCCGCGUGGGGGAUGACGGCCUUCGGGUUGUAAACUCCUUUCGCUAGGGACGAAGCUUUUUGUGACGGUACCUAGAUAAGAAGCACCGGCUAACUACGUG
Molecule: ribosomal RNA, 465 nt
Filed under: uncultured bacterium
Lineage: Bacteria
Description: partial 16S ribosomal RNA
Rfam family: Bacterial small subunit ribosomal RNA
Source: RNAcentral